UAAGGAAUAUUGGUCAAUGGACGCAAGUCUGAACCAGCCAUGCCGCGUGAAGGAUGAAGGUCCUCUGGAUUGUAAACUUCUUUUAUCUGGGACGAAAACGGGAUUUUUAUCUCAAUUGACGGUACCAGAGGAAUAAGCACCGGCUAACUCCAUGCCAGCAGCCGCGGUAAUACGGAGGGUGCGAGCGUUAUCCGGAUUUACUGGGUUUAAAGGGUGCGUAGGUGGGCUUAUAAGUCAGUGGUGAAAUCUCCGAGCUUAACUUGGAAACUGCCGUUGAUACUAUAGGUCUUGAAUUAUCUGGAGGUAAGCGGAAUAUGUCAUGUAGCGGUGAAAUGCUUAGAUAUGACAUAGAACACCAAUUGCGAAGGCAGCUUACUACAUAUAAAUUGACGCUGAGGCACGAAAGCGUGGGGAUCAAACA
This 421-nucleotide ribosomal RNA is filed under the name uncultured bacterium. Its description in RNAcentral is "bacterial SSU rRNA". It matches the Rfam family "Bacterial small subunit ribosomal RNA", at positions 355 to 774 of the family's 1533-position model. The record is from RNAcentral.